CAAUACUAUCCCCAGCCCACAUCGACAAUUAUGGCCCAACAGGGAGAAAUUCCGAUGAACCCUGCUCCAUCUGUCGCCUUGCGCCACCCAGAAAUGUCAGUUGCGGCCAAGCGCAGCCGUGAUGAGUUUGAAGUUGCGACGGUCUCCGCAGCAGGUGAGACGGAAGGAUCGGCCUCAAAAAGGGCCAAAUCGCAAGACAUUAUAUUUAGGAUCGUAGUGCCG
RNAcentral lists this unclassified non-coding RNA (222 nucleotides) under Hevea brasiliensis (rubber tree). The record is from RNAcentral. Lineage: Eukaryota; Viridiplantae; Streptophyta; Magnoliopsida; Malpighiales; Euphorbiaceae.